RNAcentral lists this ribosomal RNA (468 nucleotides) under uncultured bacterium. RNAcentral describes it as "bacterial SSU rRNA". It matches the Rfam family "Bacterial small subunit ribosomal RNA", at positions 331 to 792 of the family's 1533-position model. The record is from RNAcentral.
CCAGACCCCUACGGGAGGCAGCAGUGGGGAAUUUUGGACAAUGGGCGCAAGCCUGAUCCAGCUAUUCCGCGUGUGGGAUGACGGCCCUCGGGUUGUAAACCACUUUCGUAGAGAACGAAAAGGAGCUAUCGAAUAAAUAGCUCUGCUGACGGUACUCUAAGAAUAAGCACCGGCUAACUACGUGCCAGCAGCCGCGGUAAUACGUAGGGUGCGAGCGUUAUCCGGAUUUAUUGGGUUGAAAGGGUGCGUAGGCGGGCAUUUAAGCCGGCGGUAAAAUGUCGGGGCUCAACCCCGGCCUGCCGUCGGAACUGGGUGCCUUGAGUGGGCGAGAAGUAUGCGGAAUGCGUGGUGUAGCGGUGAAAUGCAUAGAUAUCACGCAGAACCCCGAUUGCGAAGGCAGCAUACCGGCGCCCUACUGACGCUGAGGCACGAAAGUGCGGGUAUCGAACAGGAUUAGAUACCCUUGUA